RNAcentral lists this ribosomal RNA (794 nucleotides) under Yamadazyma mexicana. RNAcentral's name for it is "LSU rRNA". It matches the Rfam family "Eukaryotic large subunit ribosomal RNA", at positions 77 to 931 of the family's 3401-position model. The record is from RNAcentral. Lineage: Eukaryota; Fungi; Ascomycota; Pichiomycetes; Serinales; Debaryomycetaceae.
GCCUUAGUAGCGGCGAGUGAAGCGGCAAUAGCUCAAAUUUGAAAUCUGGCACCUUCGGUGUCCGAGUUGUAAUUUGAAGAAGGUAUCUUUGGUUUUGGCUCUUGUCUAUGUUCCUUGGAACAGGACGUCACAGAGGGUGAGAAUCCCGUGCGAUGAGAUGCCCAAUUCCAUGUAAAGUUCCUUCGACGAGUCGAGUUGUUUGGGAAUGCAGCUCUAAGUGGGUGGUAAAUUCCAUCUAAAGCUAAAUAUUGGCGAGAGACCGAUAGCGAACAAGUACUGUGAAGGAAAGAUGAAAAGAACUUUGAAAAGAGAGUGAAAAAGUACGUGAAAUUGUUGAAAGGGAAGGGCUUGAGGUCAGACUUGGUUUUACCAGGCCAGCAUCAGUUUGGAUGGCAGGAUAAUAGCUUAGGAAUGUGGCACUGCUUCGGUAGUGUGUUAUAGCCUGGGUUGAUACUGCCUGUCUAGACUGAGGACUGCGUCUUUGACUAGGAUGCUGGCAUAAUGACCUUAAGCCGCCCGUCUUGAAACACGGACCAAGGAGUCUAACGUCUAUGCGAGUGUUUGGGUGUAAAACCCGUACGCGUAAUGAAAGUGAACGUAGGUGAGAGCCUUAGGGUGCAUCAUCGACCGAUCCUGAUGUCUUCGGAUGGAUUUGAGUAAGAGCAUAGCUGUUGGGACCCGAAAGAUGGUGAACUAUGCCUGAAUAGGGUGAAGCCAGAGGAAACUCUGGUGGAGGCUCGUAGCGGUUCUGACGUGCAAAUCGAUCGUCGAAUUUGGGUAUAGGGGCGAAAGAC